AUGCAAAUGUUCCUCAACAACUAAACAUAAUAUGUAAUGCAUCUAAUAUGGAUCACAUCAUAGAAACAGUUACCUCUUUGCGUCCCCUCCUUUAAGUAAUGCUGAAAAGCAUUUGGUGAUAGGUUCGGGAAUGAUGUUGUCCGAUAGGCAUUGACAACCAUAUUUAGGCUGCUCUCAAGCAUUUGAGGACAACAUAACUAAUGGUCUCAUCAACUCUUGGGUAGUAGUCACGGUC
RNAcentral lists this long non-coding RNA (235 nucleotides) under Elaeis guineensis (African oil palm). RNAcentral describes it as "long non-coding RNA (EGUI_LNC002751)". The record is from RNAcentral. Lineage: Eukaryota; Viridiplantae; Streptophyta; Magnoliopsida; Arecales; Arecaceae.